RNAcentral lists this transfer RNA (76 nucleotides) under Lautropia sp. SCN 69-89. Its description in RNAcentral is "tRNA-Thr". It matches the Rfam family "tRNA". From Rfam's summary of the family: Transfer RNA (tRNA) molecules are approximately 80 nucleotides in length. Their secondary structure includes four short double-helical elements and three loops (D, anti-codon, and T loops). Lineage: Bacteria; Pseudomonadati; Pseudomonadota; Betaproteobacteria; Burkholderiales; Burkholderiaceae. RNAcentral also lists the same sequence under 1 other name. The record is from RNAcentral.
GCCGGCUUAGCUCAGCUGGUAGAGCAACCGCCUUGUAAGCGGUAGGUCGUCUGUUCGAGUCAGACAGCCGGCACCA